RNAcentral lists this ribosomal RNA (1241 nucleotides) under metagenome. RNAcentral's name for it is "bacterial LSU rRNA". It matches the Rfam family "Bacterial large subunit ribosomal RNA", at positions 1564 to 2814 of the family's 2925-position model. The record is from RNAcentral.
UGAGUACGAGACGCUACGGCGUCGAAGCAGUCUAUGUCAUACUUCCAAGAAAAGCUUGCACUGUCAUAAACAAAUAAUGCCUGUACCAUAACCGACACAGGUGGGUAGGUAGAGUAUACUAAGGGGCGCGAGAUAACUCUCUCUAAGGAACUCGGCAAAAUGACUCCGUAACUUCGGGAGAAGGAGUGCCUUAUUCUUAAGGUUGCAAUAACAAGAUCCAAGCAACUGUUUAUCAAAAACACAGGUCUCCGCUAAGUCGUAAGACGAUGUAUGGGGGCUGACGCCUGCCCAGUGCCAGAAGGUUAAAGAAGUUGGUUAGCAUUCGCGAAGCUGAUAACUGAAGCCCUGGUGAACGGCGGCCGUAACGAUAACGGUCCUAAGGUAGCGAAAUUCCUUGUCGGGUAAGUUCCGACCCGCACGAAAGGCGUAAUGAUUUGGAUACUGUCUCGGAGAGGGGCUCGGUGAGAUAGACUUGUCUGUGAAGAUGCGGACUACCUGCACCUGGACAGAAAGACCCUAUGAAGCUUUACUGUAACUUGAAAUUGAAAUUGGACUUUAUUUGCGCAGUAUAGGUGGGAGGCGUUGAGAAUAUUCUUGCGGGAAUAUUGGAGCCAUCAGUGAGAUACCACUCUUGUAAUGUUAGAUUUCUAACUUUGAAUCAUUAUCUGGUCAAAGGACAGUUUCAGGCGGGCAGUUUGACUGGGGCGGUCGCCUCCUAAAUGGUAACGGAGGCGCACAAAGGUUUCCUCUGAACGGGUAGAAAUCGUAUCUAGAGUGUAAAGGCAUAAGGAAGCUUGACUGUGAGACCUACAAGUCGAGCAGGGACGAAAGUCGGUCUUAGUGAUCUGACGGUGCUGAGUGGAAAGGCCGUCACUCAACGGAUAAAAGUUACUCUAAGGAUAACAGGCUGAUCUCCCCCAAGAGUUCACAUCGACGGGGAGGUUUGGCACCUCGAUGUCGGCUCAUCGCAUCCUGGGGCGGUAGUACGUCCCAAGGGUUGGGCUGUUCGCCCAUGAAAGCGGUACGCGAGCUGGGUUCAGAACGUCGUGAGACAGUUCGGUCCAUAUCCGGUGUAGGCGUUAGAAUAUUGAGAGGAGCCUUCUUUAGUACGAGAGGACCGAGAAGGACAUACCUCUGGUGUACCAGUUAUCGUGCCAACGGUAAACGCUGGGUAGCUAUGUAUGGAGAGGAUAACCGCUGAAAGCAUCUAAGUGGGAAGCCCACCUCAAGAUAAGUAUUCU